Molecule: transfer RNA, 73 nt
Filed under: Ictidomys tridecemlineatus (thirteen-lined ground squirrel)
Lineage: Eukaryota; Metazoa; Chordata; Mammalia; Rodentia; Sciuridae
Description: Spermophilus tridecemlineatus (thirteen-lined ground squirrel) tRNA
Rfam family: tRNA
About the family: Transfer RNA (tRNA) molecules are approximately 80 nucleotides in length.
Source: Rfam by way of RNAcentral
GGGGAUAUAACUCAGUUAGUAGAGUGCUUGUCUCACACACACAAGGCCCUGGGUUCAAUCCCCAACACCACCA